AGAACGAACGCUGGCGGCGUGGAUAAGACAUGCAAGUCGAACGCUGAUUUCAGGGUAGCAAUAUUCUGGAGUCGGAGUGGCGCAAGGGUGCGUAACACGUGGGUAAUUUGCCAUGAAGCCCGGAAUAACUCGCUGAAAGGCGAGCUAAUACCGGAUGUGAUAUUCGGGAGGCAUCUCCUGAAUCUUAAAGCUGGGGACCGUAAGGCCUGGCACUUCUUGAUAAGCCCGCGGCCUAUCAGCUAGUUGGUGAGGUAACGGCUCACCAAGGCUAAGACGGGUAGCUGGUCUGAGAGGACGACCAGUCGCACUGGAACUGAGACACGGUCCAGACACCUACGGGUGGCAGCAGUCGAGAAUUUUUCUCAAUGGGCGAAAGCCUGAAGGAGCGACGCCGCGUGGGGGAUGAAUGGCUUCGGCCCGUAAACCCCUGUCAUUUGCGAACAAACCUCGUGAUUUAACAGAUGACGAGCUGAUUGUAGCGAAAGAGGAAGGGACGGCUAACUCUGUGCCAGCAGCCGCGGUAAUACAGAGGUCCCAAGCGUUGUUCGGAUUCACUGGGCGUAAAGGGUGCGUAGGUGGCUGGGUAAGUCUGAUGUGAAAUCUCCGAGCCUAACUCGGAAACUGCAUCGGAUACUAUUCGGCUAGAGGGUUGGAGGGGGGACUGGAAUACUUGGUGUAGCAGUGAAAUGCGUAGAUAUCAAGUGGAACACCAGUGGCGAAGGCGAGUCCCUGGACAACUCCUGACACUGAGGCACGAAAGCUAGGGGAGCAAACAGGAUUAGAUACCCUGGUAGUCCUAGCCGUAAACGGUGCACGUUUGCUGUAAAAGGAAUCGACCCCUUUUGUGGCGAAGCUAACGCGUAAACGUGCCGC
Molecule: ribosomal RNA, 873 nt
Filed under: uncultured bacterium
Lineage: Bacteria
Description: bacterial SSU rRNA
Rfam family: Bacterial small subunit ribosomal RNA
Source: RNAcentral